GAUGAACGCUGGCGGCGUGCCUAAUACAUGCAAGUCGAGCGAACAGACGAGGAGCUUGCUCCUCUGACGUUAGCGGCGGACGGGUGAGUAACACGUGGAUAACCUACCUAUAAGACUGGGAUAACUUCGGGAAACCGGAGCUAAUACCGGAUAAUAUAUUGAACCGCAUGGUUCAAUAGUGAAAGACGGUUUUGCUGUCACUUAUAGAUGGAUCCGCGCCGCAUUAGCUAGUUGGUAAGGUAACGGCUUACCAAGGCAACGAUGCGUAGCCGACCUGAGAGGGUGAUCGGCCACACUGGAAGUGAGACACGGUCCAGACUCCUGCGGGAGGCAGCAGUAGGGAAUCUUACGCAAUGGGCGAGAGCCUGACGGAGCAACGCCGCGUGAGUGAUGAAGGUCUUCGGAUCGUAAAACUCUGUUAUUAGGGGAGAACAAAUGUGUAAGUAACUAUGCACGUCUUGACGGUACCUAGUCAGAAAGCCACGGCUAACUACGUG
This 497-nucleotide ribosomal RNA is filed under the name uncultured bacterium. RNAcentral's name for it is "partial 16S ribosomal RNA". It matches the Rfam family "Bacterial small subunit ribosomal RNA", at positions 28 to 507 of the family's 1533-position model. The record is from RNAcentral.